RNAcentral lists this long non-coding RNA (792 nucleotides) under Homo sapiens (human). Its description in RNAcentral is "non-protein coding LINC01227:2". The record is from RNAcentral. Lineage: Eukaryota; Metazoa; Chordata; Mammalia; Primates; Hominidae.
GAGUGGGGAGAGCGGGAAACCACUUAGCCUUUGUUGAUUUUUCCAGCCAAGGCAGGAACUUUGUCUUUUUAUUAAGAUCAAAAGGAAUGCAUGAGGGGUGUGGACAAGGGCUGGCGGGCUGCAGGUGGAAAGUGCAUGCAGUGGGAACGUGCAGCCAUGAGGUCCAGGGUGCAUUUUAGAGAGGACGGGUUGGAGGUCAUGGUGUGGUCUGGAAGAAAGGUCAGGAAAUGGAAUCAUGGUGUUAGUGGUUUAGAAAAGUGGUCCGAUGCCAGAGGCUAAGUUACUUGGCUUGGUUCACACAUCAGCAAGUUCAAACCGAGUUCAGUUGUGCUGCGAAGCCAAUAUGCUAAGUCACCAUAAUUUAACAACAGGUUUCCCCUCAAGGCCAGGCCCCUGGUCCCCAGGAGUGCGGGGAUGCCUGAGGUCUACUGCUGCCUUAUCCAGAGCUGCCAUCCCCGGCGAUGACUCAGAGUUCCUGUGGCCCCAGCAUCAUCCCUCCAUCCCUGGCUGUGAGGCAGGAGCAGAGUUGCAGACCUGAGAGGCCUUGAAUUUGUUUGAUAUAGGACUUUGCCACCAGACAAAGUGCUUUGCCUGUGAGGUCUGGCUUGGCCUGGCCUCUGAGAAAGAACAAACACAGACCUCACUGGAAGGAACCUGGAGAACGGGAGAGGAGAGGCUGCUGCUGUCUGCCCUCCCAGCAGCAGAUAUAAAGACAAUGGGCUUCUAAGUCCCCUAGAGUCCCAGCUGUGUAAUUUAAGGCGAGUUCAUCUCUCACAGCCUCAGUUUCCUCAU